Molecule: ribosomal RNA, 604 nt
Filed under: uncultured Methanoculleus sp.
Lineage: Archaea; Methanobacteriati; Methanobacteriota; Methanomicrobia; Methanomicrobiales; Methanomicrobiaceae
Description: partial 16S ribosomal RNA
Rfam family: Archaeal small subunit ribosomal RNA
Source: RNAcentral
AGCCAGUAAUCGUACGGGUGUGAGCAGAGCCCGAGUGGAUYUGAGACACGAAUCCAGGCCCUACGGGCGCAGCAGGCSSGAAAACUUUACAAUGCGGSCACCGKGAUAAGGRACCUCGAGUGCCUGUAAUGCAGGCUGUUUAGGUKUUAAAACGCACCUGGARAAAGGSCCGGGCAAGACCGGUGCCAGCCGCCGCGGUAAUACCGGCGGCUCGAGUKGUGSCCACUUUUAUUGGGCUUAAAGCGUUCGUAGCUGGGUUGUUAAGUCUCUUGGGAAAUCUGGCGGCUUAACCGUCAGGCGUCUAAGGGAUACUGGCAAUCUUGGAACCGGGAGAGGUGAGGGGUACUUCGGGGGUAGGAGUGAAAUCCUGUAAUCCUCGAGGGACCACCUGUGGMRAAGRMRCCUCACCAGAACGGCUUCGACAGUGAGGGACGAAAGCUGGGGGAGCAAACCGGAUUAGAUACCCGGGUAGUCCCAGCCGUAAACUAUGCGCGUUAGGUGUAUCGGUGACCACGAGUUACCGAGGUGCCGAAGGGAAACCGUGAAACGUGCCGCCUGGGAAGUACGGUCGCAAGGCUGAAACUUAAAGGAAUUGGCGGGGGAG